CCCUAUCUCUCUAUGUUUUCUCUCUUGCAGGGUUCUUGGAUCUUAAAAAAAAAUUUGCAAAUGGCCUAGAUUUAUUAAUCAGAAAUCUCGGAUGCUAUCACCUAGCCCAUUGUUAUGGGAUGCUAGAUUUUAAGAAUUUUAUUUUAAAAUAAUUAUGAUAGAAUUUUGAUCAAAGUAUGAUAUUUUUAUCAAGUUCAAAGAAGGAUUUUUAAAAUUAAUUGGAUCCAUAGUUGAAUUUGCUUUUAA
RNAcentral lists this long non-coding RNA (246 nucleotides) under Elaeis guineensis (African oil palm). Its description in RNAcentral is "long non-coding RNA (EGUI_LNC073555)". The record is from RNAcentral. Lineage: Eukaryota; Viridiplantae; Streptophyta; Magnoliopsida; Arecales; Arecaceae.